GUUUGAGCUUUGACUAUCGAGGAACCACUCUUUUAUCUGUAAGGGAUUCCUAAAUGAUGUGUUACAAAAGCUAGUCAAGUUCCACAGAAGGUUCAUCCAUCCAUCAUUCUGUGUGUUUUCUUCAGCGACAAAUUUCCAAAGAAAGAUCAUUAGCCCCUACCACUACAAACAAAAGAGCCUUCACUGGUUCUAGGUGCUUUUCGGACAUGUACAUGGCUGUGACUGAAACUGGGUGGUUCCAAAUGCUUUUAGUACAUGUUGAAAGGCCACUAUCUUUCCAAAGACAGCUAAUAAGCACCUAACACAACCAACAAAAGCGCCUUGAUGAGGGCAUUGACCGGGUGGUUCCAAAUGCUUUUAGUACAUGUUGAAAGGCUUUCCAAAGAAAGCUAAUUAGCACCUACCACAACCAACAAAAGCCCCUGGAUGAGGGUAUUGACGGAAUGUGAGUGCUUCCAAAGGCUUCUAGUACAUAUCGAAAGGGCCCUUGGUUAGGGUCAGCGUUUGAACCUUUACAGGUUUUCAGUACACGGUAUGUGUGCGUGCGUAAUUAACAAGCUAAAGUGUUCCUCGAGCUAGCCAGGAGUCGAACCUAGAAUCUUCUGAUCCGUAGUCAGACGCGUUAUCCAUUGCGCCACUAGCCCUACACAGGGUGUCUCGGGACAGAUCAGGCAGACGGAUCGGUAGGAAGAAAGACUAAAAACAAGAGUUCUGCAGUUGGCUUUGGAUGUUCUUAUCACAUGUUGAGCUGAAGUGGCUGGAUGGAAGCUCUCUACUCCCUCCGUGAGUUUGCGCCCUUUGUGCUGGUUUGUGUUUACGUUCCACCGCAGGCCAACGUGCAGGAGGCACAAUGCAAGCUCGACUAGCAGAUAUUGCGUGGGGAGAGGACAAACCCGGACUCGGGACAGCGCCAGCAGGGCGUCGACAUGCCAAAAGGAUCCCUGAGCCAGUCCUCGUUAGUAUAGUGGACAGUAUCUCCGCCUGUCACGCGGAAGACCGGGGUUCGAUUCCCCGACGGGGAGUUUCCUUUUAGAUCACCUGCUGAUCUUUCGCCGACGAAAAAGAAAUAAACACAGCUGCGGUAAGCGUGCGCUUGCGUCAAGCUGAGGCUAAGGUUACCUUAACUUUGCUCCUUUUUGCGUCUGUCUGAUAUUUUGACUGGGUACACUUUGAUUUUGAUACGGAGUAGAGUUUGAUUUUGAUACUGAGCACAGUUUGAUAUGUAAACGGAAGCAGAGGCAACGACACAAAAGUUGACCGGGUUCCAAUUUCUGCCGUGACCCGGAUUCGAACCGGGGUUGCUGCGGCCACAACGCAGAGUACUAACCUCUAUACGAUCACGGCUGUUUGGUUCACUUAGUGCCUCCUUGUUGGACUGAGUGUCUCCAGGUCGUGACAGCAUAGUUUGAGCUUUGACUAUCGAGGAACCACUCUUUUAUCUGUAAGGGAUUCCUAAAUGAUGUGUUACAAAAGCUAGUCAAGUUCCACAGAAGGUUCAUCCAUCCAUCAUUCUGUGUGUUUUCUUCAGCGACAAAUUUCCAAAGAAAGAUCAUUAGCCCCUACCACUACAAACAAAAGAGCCUUCACUGGUUCUAGGUGCUUUUCGGACAUGUACAUGGCUGUGACUGAAACUGGGUGGUUCCAAAUGCUUUUAGUACAUGUUGAAAGGCCACUAUCUUUCCAAAGACAG
Molecule: long non-coding RNA, 1690 nt
Organism: Dicentrarchus labrax (European seabass)
Lineage: Eukaryota; Metazoa; Chordata; Actinopteri; Moronidae
Exons: 3
Source: RefSeq, a predicted model, not a curated record